GCUACACAUGCAUCGAGCGAGACGCCUUCUGGUGAGUUAGCGGCGGACGGGUGAGUGACGCGUGGGAAUCUACCCAGUAUUGCCGGACAACAGUUGGAAACCACUGCUAAUACCGCAUACACCCUACAGGGUAAAGGGGGCUUCGGCUCUCGCUAUUGGAUGAGCCCGCGUAAGAUUAGCUAGCAGGUGGGGUAAAGGCCCUCCUAGGGGACUAAUCUUAACCUGGCCUGACAGGG
Molecule: ribosomal RNA, 236 nt
Filed under: uncultured Oceanobacter sp.
Lineage: Bacteria; Pseudomonadati; Pseudomonadota; Gammaproteobacteria; Oceanospirillales; Oceanospirillaceae
Description: partial 16S ribosomal RNA
Rfam family: Bacterial small subunit ribosomal RNA
Source: RNAcentral